AGGUGAACUUUCAAUUUCCCCAUGUUUACCAGAUAAUGGUGUAGGGGAGGCCGAUGACUUGAGAAAUGCAAAGCGUAAAGUUGAUGCUAAUGAGCCUUCCUUUAGUGAUAAAGCUAAGAAACUGAAAUCAUUGUUUGGAACAGAAGGUGAAAUUAUUUCCCGCCGGGAAAAAGGUUUUCCUGGCAUCAUCAUUUCUGCACGCCGUACAGCAAUUUCAAGAACUGAUAUUUUAGAUAUGUUCAUGGAUGAUGAUAACAAUGGCCAAUGUUUUGAUGCGAAUUUUCAAUUAAACACCGGCCAAAGUAGCAAUGAUUCACUUCCUGAUCAUAUGCCAGAACUCUUUAACUCUUGUAACUCUGUACCAGUGGAAGAGAAUCAAGUUGACUCGCCCUGGGAAGCUAUGGCAGGCUAUGCACGACGUUUGAUGUUGGGACCUUCCAAUCAAGAAGUACAAACCAUGUGUGCUGAUGUCUUCAGAGUUGUUUAUGCUGCCAUUCAGAAGGCUGGUGACCAAGGAUUGAGCAUCGAAGAAAUUUCCCAACUUAUAAAAGGGCCAGGUAUUGUAAGUGCUGAGAUUUAACCUAGUAUAUGGUUGACUUAAAAUUGAUUAAUUUUUUUUUAAUUAUUUAAACUUCUCUGUGAUAGUUUAUUGUUUUAUAUGGCUUUAUGUCUUUCAGGAGCAGGGGUAGAUGGACUGAUUGUUGAUGCUCUUCAAGCAUUUGGAAAAGCCUUAAAGGUACUCUCCCUUCCUUGGUCCAAUGAUUCAUAGCAUGCUUGGAUUCCAGUCUGUUAAUUGUGGUCUGCCCCAAUGAAAAAGCUUUUUUUUUUUUUUUUUACUUAUACUCAAAUUAUAGUUCGAGACUGAAAUCAUGUUCAAACACAACCCCGUCAUUAUUUCCUAAACAUGUUAUUUGUGGAUGAAACUUAAGUUACACACCCCAAGCUAUGAUUUGUGGUGUGUAAACUAUAUACAAGUGUUAAAAAUAUAAUAUAAAACCAUUCAUAUGUCUUCACCCAAUAACUUAAUCUUUUGAGAUAGUUGGUUCACGGUGUAGUGUCGAAACCUUUAUGGGUAAGUCGUUCUUAAAUUAAUUGCAUGCUAUGAGACAGAUCAGUUAUGUGCUUAAAUUUAGCCCUAUAUUGUUACACUUUCUAGUCAUGUUUAUAUUGGUCAUCAUGAAAUUGAUAAUAUGAAGCGUGUUCAUAUGUUUGUGUAAGGCAUAAAGUCAGGAUUAUGUUUUCUCAUCAUGCUUGCCCAUAUUAUAGUGAUUGUCUACUACUGAACUUCUUUGGCUCCAAACUCUCCUAGAUGAGCUACUAUGAUCUGUAAUUCUGUAUAAUGUGACAGGUGACAUCUUAAGCAUGGUUUCCCUCUCUUACAACCCAAUCCUGCAUGCACCAAUGAAAAUAGGAAUAUAAAUCUGUUGUAGUAAAAAGAUAUAUCAAUCCCCAACUAAUAUAAAAAGGGAAUAGAUUCUGUCCUACAUGCUCGGGCUUGAGAGGGAGUGUUGGUAUGAUUUAUCUGAUAACCCAUGAAAAUAGAAAUAAAAUUCUGUUUUAGUUAGGAGAUAUAUCAAUCCCUGAAUUUUUAUCAUUUAGGUGUUUUAGAUGUAUUUAUAUUGUAUCUAGUUGUAAUUAUAAAGUUGAGUGCUAGGGUUUCUCUCAAGCAAAUGAAGCAAUCCAACCAGUUCAAGUUAUGUUUUUUCAUUAUUGCUGCCAUUUAUUUUAAUUUAAUUUGAUUCUACAUUUUGAGAUUUUUGGCUACCUGAUUUCUUUUUCUUCCCCCCCUGACAGGUUGAGGGCAACGGCAGUGAACGUUUUGAACUGUCACUACAGUUCUUGCACAGUGUUUCCAAGUCACCUUUUCCAUUAAAUACUGGAAAGCGAGCUGUUAAAUUUUCUGCACGGCUGCAGGAAAGAGACAAAGAUCUCAUUGAAAUGGGGACUAAUCUUGCUGAAGAUCUACAGUGUGGGGACAUUUUUCAUUUGUUUGCUUUAGUCUCAUUAGGUGAACUUUCAAUUUCCCCAUGUUUACCAGAUAAUGGUGUAGGGGAGGCCGAUGACUUGAGAAAUGCAAAGCGUAAAGUUGAUGCUAAUGAGCCUUCCUUUAGUGAUAAAGCUAAGAAACUGAAAUCAUUGUUUGGAACAGAAGGUGAAAUUAUUUCCCGCCGGGAAAAAGGUUUUCCUGGCAUCAUCAUUUCUGCACGCCGUACAGCAAUUUCAAGAACUGAUAUUUUAGAUAUGUUCAUGGAUGAUGAUAACAAUGGCCAAUGUUUUGAUGCGAAUUUUCAAUUAAACACCGGCCAAAGUAGCAAUGAUUCACUUCCUGAUCAUAUGCCAGAACUCUUUAACUCUUGUAACUCUGUACCAGUGGAAGAGAAUCAAGUUGACUCGCCCUGGGAAGCUAUGGCAGGCUAUGCACGACGUUUGAUGUUGGGACCUUCCAAUCAAGAAGUACAAACCAUGUGUGCUGAUGUCUUCAGAGUUGUUUAUGCUGCCAUUCAGAAGGCUGGUGACCAAGGAUUGAGCAUCGAAGAAAUUUCCCAACUUAUAAAAGGGCCAGGUAUUGUAAGUGCUGAGAUUUAACCUAGUAUAUGGUUGACUUAAAAUUGAUUAAUUUUUUUUUAAUUAUUUAAACUUCUCUGUGAUAGUU
Molecule: long non-coding RNA, 2653 nt
Filed under: Lotus japonicus
Lineage: Eukaryota; Viridiplantae; Streptophyta; Magnoliopsida; Fabales; Fabaceae
Description: long non-coding RNA (LJAP_LNC000907)
Source: RNAcentral